UACGGAGGAUGCGAGCGUUAUCCGGAUUUAUUGGGUUUAAAGGGUGCGUAGGCGGCUUUUUAAGUCAGCGGUGAAAUUUUGCAGCUUAACUGUAACAGUGCCGUUGAUACUGGGGAGCUAGGAUUUGGUUGCUGUGGGUGGAAUGUGUGGUGUAGCGGUGAAAUGCUUAGAGAUUACACAGAAUAUCGAUUGCGAAGGCAGCUCACAAAGCCAAGAUUGACGCUGAGGCACGAAAGUGUGGGGAUCAAACAGGAUUAGA
This 259-nucleotide ribosomal RNA is filed under the name uncultured prokaryote. RNAcentral's name for it is "partial 16S ribosomal RNA". It matches the Rfam family "Bacterial small subunit ribosomal RNA", at positions 524 to 782 of the family's 1533-position model. The record is from RNAcentral.